This 381-nucleotide long non-coding RNA is filed under the name Durio zibethinus. RNAcentral's name for it is "long non-coding RNA (DZIB_LNC000920)". The record is from RNAcentral. Lineage: Eukaryota; Viridiplantae; Streptophyta; Magnoliopsida; Malvales; Malvaceae.
GGAGAUUGUUGGGAAUAUUGACUCAAAUCCCAUAAGAGAUUUGUUUGAGAUUUGUUAGAGAUUUGUUUGGGAUUUGUCAGAUAUUGCUUGAUGGACAAGAAGACUUGCAAAAGAAGAAUUCCAAGAGAAAGAAGAUUCUUAAUAGGUAAGUUUGACUUGCAAGAGAAGAAUUCUAAAAGGAAAGGGAUUCUUAAUAGGCAAGUUUGACUUACAGGAGAAGAAUUCUAAGAGGAAAGGGAUUCUUAAUGGGCAAGUUUGUAUGGUUAUAAAUAGGUGAAGUCUCUACAGGGUUAGGUAUGAGAAAAAGAUGUAAGAGAGUUGUAGGAUUUUGUGGGAUAGACACCCCAUAGGAGUAUUGGGGCUUUACGUCUUAUGGGUGUG